GUAAUACAUCGGAACGUGCCCAGUCGUGGGGGGAGUAACUACUCGAAAGAGUAGCUAAUACCGCAUACGAUCUGAGGAUGAAAGCGGGGGACCUUCGGGCCUCGCGCGAUUGGAGCGGCCGAUGGCAGAUUAGGUAGUUGGUGGGAUAAAAGCUUACCAAGCCGACGAUCUGUAGCUGGUCUGAGAGGACGACCAGCCACACUGGGACUGAGACACGGCCCAGACUCCUACGGGAGGCAGCAGCC
RNAcentral lists this ribosomal RNA (245 nucleotides) under uncultured Delftia sp. Its description in RNAcentral is "partial 16S ribosomal RNA". It matches the Rfam family "Bacterial small subunit ribosomal RNA", at positions 110 to 355 of the family's 1533-position model. Lineage: Bacteria; Pseudomonadati; Pseudomonadota; Betaproteobacteria; Burkholderiales; Comamonadaceae. The record is from RNAcentral.